This 471-nucleotide ribosomal RNA is filed under the name uncultured bacterium. RNAcentral's name for it is "bacterial SSU rRNA". It matches the Rfam family "Bacterial small subunit ribosomal RNA", at positions 28 to 507 of the family's 1533-position model. The record is from RNAcentral.
GAUGAACGCUAGCUACAGGCUUAACACAUGCAAGUCGAGGGGCAGCAGGGAUUUAGCUUGCUAAAUCCGCUGGCGACCGGCGCACGGGUGCGUAACGCGUAUCCAACUUUCCCGUUACUCAGGGAUAGCCUUCCGAAAGGGAGAUUAAUACCUGAUGGUGUUUGAAAUUCGCAUGUUCUUCAAACUAAAGAUUUAUCGGUAACGGAUAGGGAUGCGUGACAUUAGAUAGUAGGCGGGGUAACGGCCCACCAAGGCGACGAUCAGUAGCCGGUCUGAGAGGAUGAACGGCCACAUUGGGACUGAGAUACGGCCCAGACUCCUACGGGAGGCAGCAGUAGGGAAUUUUGCGCAAUGGGCGAAAGCCUGACGCAGCAACACCGCGUGAAUGUUAAGCCCUUCGGGGUGUAAAGUUCUGUCAGUAGGGAAGAACAAAUGACUGUACCUACAAAGGAAGCACCGGCUAACUCCGUG